This 1368-nucleotide ribosomal RNA is filed under the name uncultured bacterium. RNAcentral's name for it is "bacterial SSU rRNA". It matches the Rfam family "Bacterial small subunit ribosomal RNA", at positions 28 to 1381 of the family's 1533-position model. The record is from RNAcentral.
GACGAACGCUGGCGGCGUGCCUAAUACAUGCAAGUAGAACGCUGAAGAGAGGAGCUUGCUCUUCUUGGAUGAGUUGCGAACGGGUGAGUAACGCGUAGGUAACCUGCCUGGUAGCGGGGGAUAACUAUUGGAAACGAUAGCUAAUACCGCAUAAAAUUGAUUAUUGCAUGAUAAUUAAUUGAAAGAUGCAAUUGCAUCACUACCAGAUGGACCUGCGUUGUAUUAGCUAGUUGGUGAGGUAACGGCUCACCAAGGCGACGAUACAUAGCCGACCUGAGAGGGUGAUCGGCCACACUGGGACUGAGACACGGCCCAGACUCCUACGGGAGGCAGCAGUAGGGAAUCUUCGGCAAUGGGGGGAACCCUGACCGAGCAACGCCGCGUGAGUGAAGAAGGUUUUCGGAUCGUAAAGCUCUGUUGUAAGAGAAGAACGGGUGUGAGAGUGGAAAGUUCACACUGUGACGGUAUCUUACCAGAAAGGGACGGCUAACUACGUGCCAGCAGCCGCGGUAAUACGUAGGUCCCGAGCGUUGUCCGGAUUUAUUGGGCGUAAAGCGAGCGCAGGCGGUUAGAUAAGUCUGAAGUUAAGGCUGUGGCUUAACCAUAGUAUGCUUUGGAAACUGUUUAACUUGAGUGCAGUAGGGGAGAGUGGAAUUCCAUGUGUAGCGGUGAAAUGCGUAGAUAUAUGGAGGAACACCGGUGGCGAAAGCGGCUCUCUGGUCUGUAACUGACGCUGAGGCUCGAAAGCGUGGGGAGCAAACAGGAUUAGAUACCCUGGUAGUCCACGCCGUAAACGAUGAGUGCUAGGUGUUAGGCCCUUUCCGGGGCUUAGUGCCGCAGCUAACGCAUUAAGCACUCCGCCUGGGGAGUACGACCGCAAGGUUGAAACUCAAAGGAAUUGACGGGGGCCCGCACAGGCGGUGGAGCAUGUGGUUUAAUUCGAAGCAACGCGAAGAACCUUACCAGGUCUUGACAUCCCUCUGACCGCUCUAGAGAUAGAGUUUUCCUUCGGGACAGAGGUGACAGGUGGUGCAUGGUUGUCGUCAGCUCGUGUCGUGAGAUGUUGGGUUAAGUCCCGCAACGAGCGCAACCCCUAUUGUUAGUUGCCAUCAUUGAGUUGGGCACUCUAGCGAGACUGCCGGUAAUAAACCGGAGGAAGGUGGGGAUGACGUCAAAUCAUCAUGCCCCUUAUGACCUGGGCUACACACGUGCUACAAUGGCUGGUACAACGAGUCGCAAGCCGGUGACGGCAAGCUAAUCUCUGAAAGCCAGUCUCAGUUCGGAUUGUAGGCUGCAACUCGCCUACAUGAAGUCGGAAUCGCUAGUAAUCGCGGAUCGGCACGCCGCGGUGAAUACGUUCUCGGGCCU